AGCAAAUAAGAUUUAGUUCGCGCUGGAUUUGAAAUCCGGCAGUAUUGUUUUGUUACAAGGUUUGCUG
Molecule: transfer RNA, 67 nt
Filed under: Cichlidogyrus sclerosus
Lineage: Eukaryota; Metazoa; Platyhelminthes; Monogenea; Dactylogyridea; Ancyrocephalidae
Description: tRNA-Ser
Source: RNAcentral